AGAGAUUGCACUGGGCGUAAAGCGUGCGCAGGCGGUUUUGUAAGACAGAGGUGAAAUCCCGGGCUCAACCUGGGAACUGCCUUUGUGACUGCAAGGCUGGAGUGCGGCAGAGGGGGAUGGAAUUCCGCGUGUAGCAGUGAAAUGCGUAGAUAUGCGGAGGAACACCGAUGGCGAAGGCAAUCCCCUGGGCCUGCACUGACGCUCAUGCACGAAAGCGUGGGGAGCAAACA
This 230-nucleotide ribosomal RNA is filed under the name uncultured Alicycliphilus sp. RNAcentral describes it as "partial 16S ribosomal RNA". It matches the Rfam family "Bacterial small subunit ribosomal RNA", at positions 553 to 774 of the family's 1533-position model. The record is from RNAcentral. Lineage: Bacteria; Pseudomonadati; Pseudomonadota; Betaproteobacteria; Burkholderiales; Comamonadaceae.